AAAAAAACCACAAAACAAACCAAAAAAUACCUUUAUGUAAUCGCUGAUCAAGAUUUUGGAAAAAGCAUUUUAAAGACUAUUUGUUUCCCUUAAAAAUACAGUACAGGUUCAAAAUCUUUACAGUUGGUCCCUAAGCAUCUGUAUUUUUAAACUUCCACAGAUUUCUGAUGGGCAGCCAAGGACUGUGAGCCACUUACCUAAAGGCAACAUCAAGGCAAAGCGGUCCCCAAAUAGCAAUAGAGGUAUCCCUUGGUACCAAAUAUAUUCAUUUCCAGGUUUGGAUAUAAAGGAUAUUAUCUAUUUGACUUUUUUUCUUAGUUUUGGAUAGUGUGUAGCAGGAGUUCUAAAGACUUAUCCAAAUUUCUUGAACAGUGGGAUACCUGUAGUGUGAAACCACUUUCAAUUAUACUUCUGCCUAAUGCGCUGAGCUGGAACUAACUUACACUACAGGUGAGGAAAAGAGUUUAGGAAAAUUAGAAAUUAUUGAACAAACUUUUAGAGCUUCUUGAAACAACAGAAGCUUUAAUUAAUAUGCAAACAGUGGAUAGAAAGUAUGGUUUAACUAAGCCCCAUUAGGCCUUUAAAAAUUAUUGCUUUAUCUGAGUAAUCCAUAAAUACAUGUUUAUUGUGAAAUUUUCAAAUAUUACAGAAAUAUAUGGAAGAGUUAUGAUUUCCCUUUAUUUUAUCCUCCCAAAUGUUACCAGUGUUUAUGUUUAAUAAUAUAUAUCCUUUCAUGCUUUUUUUCUGUGCACUUAACUGUGAAUAUGUAAAGGGUUUGUUUUGUACAUAAAUGGGAUUAUACUAAAGUAUUGCUUAUUUUUAAAGAUAGGUUAAAUUUGUGAAUCAUUAUUUCAAAUGUAUGGAAUAAAGUAAGACAAAAGCUGUUUUUAUUUACUGAUUAUUAUGUCCUUAAAAUAUUUGUAUUAUAAGAGCACAGUUCUUUCUACUUACUGCUGAUGAUAAAAUAUGUAUCGAUUGUAUUAUUUUUCUUGUAAAUGAAAAUUUUAAAACAGAUUUACAUGUUACUUAAAAUUUUGUAUAGUUUAGAAAAGGACUUAAAAUUGUUAACACAAGGAAAAGGGUUUUUUUUUUAUAAAAUCUGUUAGCAACUCAAAUACAUGAAUGCAGAUGUUAGCUCUUGAAUGACACUGCUCAGUAUAUCCUGAUUAGAAAAAAUCUCUAAGCAAAAAAGCAUGGUGCAACAUAAUUUAUUAUAAUACACCACUGUUUAUAUGAAAAUAGACAAAAUACGAAAAUACGCAAAAGGAUACUCAAGAAAGUUAAUGCUUUUGGGAAGGAUAACUUGAUGGUUAAGAACAGGGAAUAAAGGAGACAUAUACACCCAUUACCUUUUGAAUUGAAAUUUUGUACAUAUAAAUUACAGUCAACCUAGUGUGCAGCAGUCUUUACAAAAAGUGUACCUAUGUAAUUUAAGUUAACCUAAUUUUACACCAUAACAUCUUGAAGUCGUCCAGUGCUUUCUCUCUUGCUUACAGAUUCAGUGUGCAGUUUGGUGUCUGGCACGUAGCUUGCUUGCCUACUGUAUUGAGGGAAUGAAUCUACUCGCCAUAGAGGUUCUGUGUUUCUGUAGAAAGAAUGGGUAACUUCUUAGUUGGUUCUAUAAUUUCACUCAUUCAUUUAGAUACACAUACGUCAAGCCCUCAACCCCAGUGCCUGGUGUAUUGCGAGCACCACGUGGUUCAGAAGAGAAAUAGUUCUCGGUGGGAGAGUCAGAAGGGGCUACAUGAAGGAGGCAGCUCCCAGGGAAAGGAGCACCUAUGAUGACAAAAACGGGGACGGAUUGGAGCCCUGGUCCAGGAAGGUCCCACGUGCCGUGGAGCAACUAAUAAGCCCAUGCGCCACAACUACUGAGCCUGCACUCCUAGAGCCCCUGCUCCACAAGGGAAGCCACCGCAAUGAGAAGCCCGCGCACUGCAACGAAGAGUAGACCCUGCUCACCGCAACUAGAGAAAGGCCGCGCGCAGCAACGAACACCCAACGUAGCCAAAGAGAAUUUUUUAAAAAUGAAACUAGCUUAACUACACAGAAUUAUUUGAACUCGGAGGAUCUAGAAAACUCUUAAUUCGAUGUUCAUACCAACAACUGUAGCUUCACUAUUCUGAGGCGUGCAUGAUUCACUUUUGGAAAAGCUUAUAAAUUAUGGUCUGUGAAGGGAAGUCGUGUUUACUUUCUCUUUUGCAGUUUAUUUACAUCCUCAUUCCCUAGACCUGCACUUGAGUCAACAAGUGAAAGCAAAACAAAUAAAUAUACUCGAAAAGCAGACCAUUCUGCUUUUCUCUGAAAACUUUUUGAGAAACCCGGCAUGGGACACUUCUUGUGGCCCACUGGUCAGCCAGCCUCACCUUCUUAUCCAUCCACAUUCGAGUGGCCAGUUCCGCAAGGGCUUCAACCAGCAGCAACGCUUGCUUGCUUCCUUAUCAGCUCCGUGGGAAGAGGUGCUGGCACUCAACACAGCCAACAGAAACGCUUCCCCCUUUUCCUCCUUCCUUUCUCCCUCUGACCCCUCCAAGCUUCUGUGAUAGUUCACUCACCACCUCAGGCAGCCCCAAACUGGCCUAUAGGACUUGGGAUCCCCCUUCCCAGCUUGCUGCCCCUGCACCUGUCACCUCUCUCUCAAACCCUGUGCUGAAUGAAGCCUUUGUUUCAGGCUCUGCUUCCUGAGAAAGCCACUCUAAGAUGAGAAAGUCCAUAGUAGGUUAAAUGAGUAUUGACUAGCAAUAUUCUUAGGCGACUUGAUUUAAUGAAGAAAUACAACCUUAAGAAACUUGGGUUUUCAAAGUAUUUAAGUAUACUUGCUACCUCAGUUUUCAAAUAAAACUUUCAAAGUGUUUUAUUUAACUUAAGAAAACUGAGUCAUUUAAUCUAUAAAUUAUUCUUAUUCUACACAUCCCCAUUUCAUUGAAUGACUGCUGAGAAAAAUGACAGGACUAGCUCUCAAACCACUCAGAGCUAGGUUCAAAUCCAAAUUCUACCACUUACUAGUUGCGUGACCCCCGUUUUAUUAUAUAUGUAUGUAACGUAGGGAAAAGGACAGCACCUACCCCACAGAUGAUAAUCCCCGGGUGGUGUUUAAUUGCACACACACUAGAUUUCCUGACUGGGUAAAAACCAUGGCAAACAACUCUUAAUUUUAGGAGUCUACUUAAACUCCUCUUAAGAUGUAUAUGCUAUAUUACUUGGUUAAAGCCCUAGAGCCAAAGAAUCACCAGCAGAAUCAAGAGACAAAAUUUAAUAUAUGCACACAGUUUUAUAUAUAAUGCAGCAUCACACCAUGUAGGGCAUUUACUCUUAUUUUAUACAUUCAGAUAUGUUUGAAACACUUCUUAAGGCUACAAAACAGAACAUAGAAAAAUAAACAGGAAUAUAUUCAACACUUACAAAAAGUGAUAUGAUAAAGAAUAUAAAGUACUAUUUUCCUUUCAACACUUCAAAAGAUGUAUAUAUACUUUUUUUUUUUUACAAGUAACAUCACAAAUGAUCACAUCUUCACAUGCUUUAAGUAUUAUUUGUACUCAGUGUAAGGCUAUUAUCAUUUUUCAUACAUAAAUUUUUUUCUAGCUCUGUAACAAUGCAAUUUUUAAUCCAUUCAAGUAAAUUCAACCCCAAAGUCGCUGUUUCCCAGCAUUAAGACAUGCACCCACCCCUCGUGUAGGAUUUUCCUAAAAUUUGUAUUUCAGGGGAGAAAAAAACCUAAAUUAGUGGGAAAUCCCAAUUAGUGGGAGAGUAAGUGGCUGCCACUAGUAGCAAAACCUUAGUUCUUUGAAACUGAUAUACUGGAACUGAGCCAUUAAGCUUGGAAACAACACAAUAGCAUUUAGACAUUAAAUAGGAAGCAAAAUACAGUAAACAAAUAGUGUAGCCAAAUAUGCAAAUAUGUAGUCUCUUCAGCUACACUAAAAUGGACCUUGCUUAGUACCCAUAAGUGAAAGACUAAGGUAAAAUAAAUGAGGCAUAAAUAAAUAUUGCUAGUUUCUAGGAUGGCUGAAUGCUUUCUAAACCAGAAGUGGUUAGAAAGGAACUUUAUUGCACCAAGUCGAUCAUAAGCAAGUUUGCAGUUCACAGGCAUUAUUAUUCAACCUUGAGUCACAAAGGAAACACACUGCAAGAAUAUAUACAGUCUGCAUCAAAUACGAUAAUGUAUCAGUAGGGGAAACCUACUCCUGCCAGGCCAAGGCAGGGUCUGAGCUUAGGUCAGCCAUGAAAAUGAACAUACAGGUUACCAGGAAACAGGAUGAGGACUACACAGAUGCUAGCAUCCUGCCACCAACGGGUAUGUGGAGCAAGAAUUGAAGAUUUAUCUGAGAGGAAAUGAGGAAGAGAAAUACACACAAUGCUAAAAGGAAAGGGGCUGGAAUCAAGUUUAGCAAAAGCAACUAAAA
Molecule: long non-coding RNA, 4400 nt
Organism: Physeter macrocephalus (sperm whale)
Lineage: Eukaryota; Metazoa; Chordata; Mammalia; Artiodactyla; Physeteridae
Exons: 2
Source: RefSeq, a predicted model, not a curated record